Long non-coding RNA from Rhododendron vialii, 744 nucleotides. RefSeq lists it as uncharacterized. The transcript is spliced from 3 exons. The record is from RefSeq and is a predicted model, not a curated record. NCBI's taxonomy places the organism in Eukaryota, Viridiplantae, Streptophyta, Magnoliopsida, Ericales, Ericaceae.
AUAUUUGGAAAAAUAAAAGCCCAAACCGUUUCUUAUCCCUCCAGCCAGUGGCGCUUUCGCCGGCAAAACUCACAGCUCUAUUCAGUGCGUCCGUACGUUGAAAUCUCUCUCUCUCUCUCUCAAAAACUCUGUCUCCUCUCCAGAAGUGCGAUUUAAGACUGGAGCCUUAAAAAUGGACUUAUACUAUGUGAAGUGGACGAAUGACAUGAAAAUGGCUGGCUAGUGGAGAGGGGCCAAAGGUCAAGAAAACAAGAGGUUGUAAACACACAGCUUUGUGGAGGCAUUGUAGAAAUGCAGUUACCUGCUCGCCCAAACUUCACAAAGAAAGGGUUUCAGCUAUGGGAUCAUUCUAUUGGAGAUGUUGACAGGAAAAAGGCCGAUAGAUGAAAUUUUCACCAAUGGACAAACUCUUCAUGAGUUCUAUGAGUCAGCAUUGCCGAAAAGAGUGAUUGAGAUUGUGGAUGCACAUGUUAGAAGAACCUAACGAAGCUGAAAAUGAUGCCGAGAAAGAGAGGGUCAGCCAAACCAAAAUAAGAGAAUGCUUGUUUCCCUUGUGAGGAUGGGGUUGCAUGUUCUGCCGAAUUGCCUGGCGGAAGAAUGGACACCUAGGUUGUGAUAGGAUUAACUGCCAUCAUGGAAAUUCUCAUAGAUAGUAUCCAGUUUUUAAGUACUCGUAAUUUUAUACAUUCGUCGUUGUAUACGCAUAAUGUCUUGCAAAAUAAUUGAUCACUACGUCCAAGCAAA